RNAcentral lists this long non-coding RNA (1430 nucleotides) under Cottoperca gobio. Its description in RNAcentral is "lncRNA (ENSCGOG00000023734.1)". The record is from RNAcentral. Lineage: Eukaryota; Metazoa; Chordata; Actinopteri; Perciformes; Bovichtidae.
GCAGCUGAGUGAGAACUGCUGGUGGCUUCGCUCUGCCUGUGAGUUCCAGCUCGCUCUGCAUCUGUGUACAGGCUCCUCACUCCCGGGAUCAACUCUGCUGCUGCUGCUGCUGCUGCUUAGGACAAUGUUAAAACCAGCUGCCCAGGUGCUGUGUGCAUAGGUGUCUCUGCUUUCCUGGUGUUUUUUGUGUGCAUCUGUUCUCAUAUGAUGAGCUGUUGAUCCCCUCUGUGGUUUCCUUCCAUGGCGUCUGAGGGAGCUCGGGCCAAAAGGACCAUUCUGGUUGCAUCCAGGGUCCACUGGAGCAGCAUGGACCUACCCGACCUAAUCCCAGCUCAGGACCAGGAGGCUCACGGAAAUUCGAGCCAGGACAGUGUCAGGAAAUGGCUCACCACCACCGGCACUGAGGACGAUGCAAAGCAUGAGCCUCUGCAGGAAGCUGCAGGUACGACCAAUGGAAAUCCCUCUCUGCUUUAAGUGUAGGGAGGUGUCUGUCCCCUUUAUUCUGUGUCCACCUUAUAUUGUCUUCCACCUUGUGUGAUUCAGUGGUACAUGAUGGUGAGUACAGCGUUUGUUUGGCUCACAGCACUUCUGUAGUGGUCGGGUGAGGUUUGUAGUGAGUGGAGUGAAACGAGGUGAAUAGUUCUAGUUGGGUGACGACUGGCUGACCUGCUAAAACCGCCGAGUGGACGAUGAAUGUUAAAGCUGCAUGUGUUAUGUCACACAAGUCAUUAGUGAGGGAGAGAGAAAGCAGACGUACAGUAGCUGCUGUGGAAUACACACAGCAGCCUGGUUAAUAGAACAUGUUCCUGCUGUGUUAGUGUCAGGAAUCAUUUGUUUUUAAUGUUUAAAUACAUUUUUAAUGCUCUUUUCUAAAUGUAAUUGUUGUUAUUCCUUCACAUCAGUUGCAGUUAUUAUCGGUUGAGCAGGAGCGUUGUACACGUUCACAUUUCCUUUCCAUAACGCUGAAUUAAAAAUGUCUUCAUGAAUUAAUUAAGGCUGAAAAUGAACGUGGCGGUUUGAAAUCAAAGAGCACACUUUGAUGAAUUUACACAUAUUGUUGUUGAUGGUUAGCGUUAAGCAGUGUGUAUUAUCUAACAACACCCCCACCCCUACCCCCCCUGCCCCACCCUGAGAUCAGCCCAUUCAAACAGCAUGCAAAUGGUGGUUCCAUGGGAACGGCAAAUUGCUCCUCAUGCGUCUCCCCCCCCCCCCCCCCUGUCACCUUCAAGUAAAAGCAGCCCUACUUGGCUGUUUGUCCCUCAGGCUGCUCUACCUGCGUCCACUGUACUGGGUCUGUUCGAGGGCAACAGGGAGCUGGGAAUGUGAAGGACAUCAGUUCUGCAGGUAUUUAGUCAUGAGCCAAAGUAUAUGACAGUAUAUAGAAAGUUAAGGGGUCACCAGAGGGAAUACAGUUCACACCUCUGUUGUAA